This 502-nucleotide ribosomal RNA is filed under the name uncultured Lachnospiraceae bacterium. RNAcentral's name for it is "partial 16S ribosomal RNA". Lineage: Bacteria; Bacillati; Bacillota; Clostridia; Lachnospirales; Lachnospiraceae. The record is from RNAcentral.
CACGUAGUUAGCCGGGGCUUCUUGGUCAGGUACCGUCUUGCUUCUUCCCUGCUGAUAGAGCUUUACAUACCGGAGUACUCCUUCACUCACGCGGCGUCGCUGCAUCAGGGUUCCCCCCAUUGUGCAAUAUCCCCCACUGCUGCCUCCCGUAGGAGUUUCCGGGCCGUGUCUCAGUCCCAAUGUGGCCGGUCACCCCCUCAGGUCGGCUACCGAUCGUCGCCUUGGUGGGCCGUUACCCCACCAACCAGCUGAUCGGACGCGGGUCCAUCCUAUACCACCGGAGUUUUCCGCACUGUCCCAUGCGGGACUGUGCGCUCAUGCGGUAUUAGCAGCCAUUUCUAGCUGUUAUCCCCCAGUAUAGGGCAGGUUACCCACGCGUUACUCACCCGUCCGCCACUAAGUCAUGACCCAUUCCGCCCGAAGGCCUCAUGGGUCAUGCUUCGUUCGACUUGCAUGUGUUAGGCACGCCGCCAGCGUUCAUCCUGAGCCAGGAUCAAACUCU